This 464-nucleotide ribosomal RNA is filed under the name uncultured bacterium. RNAcentral describes it as "partial 16S ribosomal RNA". It matches the Rfam family "Bacterial small subunit ribosomal RNA", at positions 339 to 795 of the family's 1533-position model. The record is from RNAcentral.
CUACGGGACGCUCCAGUGGGGAAUAUUGCACAAUGGGCGCAAGCCUGAUGCAGCCAUGCCGCGUGUAUGAAGAAGGCCUUCGAGUUGUAAAGUACUUUCAGCGGGGAGGAAGGGAGUAAAGUUAAUACCUUUGCUCAUUGACGUUACCCGCAGAAGAAGCACCGGCUAACUCCGUGCCAGCAGCCGCGGUAAUACGGAGGGUGCAAGCGUUAAUCGGAAUUACUGGGCGUAAAGCGCCCGCAGGCGGUUUGUUAAGUCAGAUGUGAAAUCCCCGGGCUCAACCUGGGAACUGCAUCUGAUACUGGCAAGCUUGAGUCUCGUAGAGGGGGGUAGAAUUCCAGGUGUAGCGGUGAAAUGCGUAGAGAUCUGGAGGAAUACCGGUGGCGAAGGCGGCCCCCUGGACGAAGACUGACGCUCAGGUGCGAAAGCGUGGGGAGCAAACAGGAUUAGAUACCCUCGUAGUC